AUGUUAUUCCUUCUGCCCUUGAUCUUGUGUCCCUUCUACAUGCAUGGCGAUAGCCCCAUGGUUUUGGAUGUACCUUCCACUUCUCCUUUGUCGGGUUAUUUGUCUCCUGGUGAUAUGAUUGUGUCAUUGGAUGGUAAACACAUCCGCAAUGAACAAGAAUGGAUAGAGAUGACUGCCCUAAUGCAAGAACAGGCACUUCAAAGUUCAAGUCAUUCGGAAAAUUCCAAAGGUUUUGCCAUAGUUCAUAG
Molecule: unclassified non-coding RNA, 248 nt
Filed under: Hevea brasiliensis (rubber tree)
Lineage: Eukaryota; Viridiplantae; Streptophyta; Magnoliopsida; Malpighiales; Euphorbiaceae
Source: RNAcentral